GAUGAACGCUGGCGGCGUGCCUAAUACAUGCAAGUCGAGCGAACGGACGAGAAGCUUGCUUCUCUGAUGUUAGCGGCGGACGGGUGAGUAACACGUGGAUAACCUACCUAUAAGACUGGGAUAACUUCGGGAAACCGGAGCUAAUACCGGAUAAUAUUUUGAACCGCAUGGUUCAAAAGUGAAAGACGGUCUUGCUGUCACUUAUAGAUGGAUCCGCGCUGCAUUAGCUAGUUGGUAAGGUAACGGCUUACCAAGGCAACGAUGCAUAGCCGACCUGAGAGGGUGAUCGGCCACACUGGAACUGAGACACGGUCCAGACUCCUACGGGAGGCAGCAGUAGGGAAUCUUCCGCAAUGGGCGAAAGCCUGACGGAGCAACGCCGCGUGAGUGAUGAAGGUCUUCGGAUCGUAAAACUCUGUUAUUAGGGAAGAACAUAUGUGUAAGUAACUGUGCACAUCUUGACGGUACCUAAUCAGAAAGCCACGGCUAACUACGUGCCAGCAGCCGCGGUAAUACGUAGGUGGCAAGCGUUAUCCGGAAUUAUUGGGCGUAAAGCGCGCGUAGGCGGUUUUUUAAGUCUGAUGUGAAAGCCCGCGGCUCAACCGUGGAGGGUCAUUGGAAACUGGAAAACUUGAGUGCGGAAGAGGAAAGUGGAAUUCCAUGUGUAGCGGUGAAAUGCGCAGAGAUAUGGAGGAACACCAGUGGCGAAGGUGACUUUCUGGUCUGUAACUGACGCUGAUGUGCGAAAGCGUGGGGAUCAAACAGGAUUAGAUACCCUGGUAGUCCACGCCGUAAACGAUGAGUGCUAAGUGUUAGGGGGUUUCCGCCCCUUAGUGCUGCAGCUAACGCAUUAAGCACUCCGCCUGGGGAGUACGACCGCAAGGUUGAAACUCAAAGGAAUUGACGGGGACCCGCACAAGCGGUGGAGCAUGUGGUUUAAUUCGAAGCAACGCGAAGAACCUUACCAAAUCUUGACAUCCUUUGACAACUCUAGAGAUAGAGCUUUCCCCUUCGGGGGACAAAGUGACAGGUGGUGCAUGGUUGUCGUCAGCUCGUGUCGUGAGAUGUUGGGUUAAGUCCCGCAACGAGCGCAACCCUUAAGCUUAGUUGCCAUCAUUAAGUUGGGCACUCUAAGUUGACUGCCGGUGACAAACCGGAGGAAGGUGGGGAUGACGUCAAAUCAUCAUGCCCCUUAUGAUUUGGGCUACACACGUGCUACAAUGGACAAUACAAAGGGCAGCGAAACCGUGAGGUCAAGCAAAUCCCAUAAAGUUGUUCUCAGUUCGGAUUGUAGUCUGCAACUCGACUACAUGAAGCUGGAAUCGCUAGUAAUCGUAGAUCAGCAUGCUACGGUGAAUACGUUCCCGGGUCU
RNAcentral lists this ribosomal RNA (1372 nucleotides) under uncultured bacterium. RNAcentral's name for it is "bacterial SSU rRNA". It matches the Rfam family "Bacterial small subunit ribosomal RNA", at positions 28 to 1381 of the family's 1533-position model. The record is from RNAcentral.